Molecule: long non-coding RNA, 1152 nt
Organism: Triticum dicoccoides
Lineage: Eukaryota; Viridiplantae; Streptophyta; Magnoliopsida; Poales; Poaceae
Exons: 4
Source: RefSeq, a predicted model, not a curated record
GUUGCUCCUGUUGCAGUUUAUGCACUGAUAGAGCAAGGCGUCGGGGCGUCCAUUUGUGAGCCUCCAGUUGAAAUGACUUUUAAGCAGCUUCUUGCUCUUGAUCCAUUAGAUAAUUUGGGCAAGCCUUUCAUUUGUAAGGUCACCAUCAUGCGUCUGGGCUCUGAUCAGCGUUGGUGGUUCCUCUCGUGCGUUGCCUGCCAUAAGACUGCGUAGGUUAAUGGGCCUAGGUUCCGUUGCUCAGACCAAGGUUGCUCUUCCGUUGGGGCAGAGCCGGCAUAUUCUAUCUGCACAUUUGCAACUGAUGGAUCAGCUGAGGCUGAAUCCAAUGUUCUUUGAGAGAGCUGGCAGAGCAGCAAUAGGCAAACCACUUCUAACCUUGCUGCGGCAAAAGUAUCCAGGGUAUUCACUAUUCAGAGGUUCGCGACCUUGCGCAGAUAGUAGGAGCUGAUGUAACCCUCCCAGUGGAAGUUACCAGAAUGGCACAAAGACGUAGCGCCUGGUGGUGGCCAUUUCCAACAAAAUUUUCAAGCCUACAAGCAACCAGCUAUCUUUCCAAGUUAAUCGGAUUGACCAGACCUUUCAGCCUGAGCUUGGGCCGUUAGAAUUUGGUCCUGCUUCCCCAGCUUCUCGCCCUUCUUCUGGUACAGGCUCAGUUGGUGUACUCUCUGGUUUCUCACUGAUGUCGCCAGUUGGACCAUUCACACUUUCAUCAAAAGAUGCACACGGCCCAGGAAGCUCUUUUAAAAGGUUGUUCUGUAUAUCGACGGUCGCUACUUUGGCGCAGGCCCCUAAAGCCUAUGCCAACAAGGACAAGCCAAGACUAAUUCACUGCAGUUGUCUUCGUGUGCCUGUCUUUGCACCCUUCUGGACACGCUCCUACUACGUUUGUUGCGUGUUUGCAAACCCAGUCUUUGGCGCUCAAAUAGCCAUGUCAAAGCUCUGGUGAUAUUCCCUAUUUAAGAUCUGAACCAGGCCACUUUCAAGCAUUGUAAAUAUCGCCGUUCGAACUCUCUGCUCUCCCCUGCCUCUCCUGAUGAUAUUUCUGUACUUGUUGGGCUGCGCUAGCGAAUCUAUCUAUAAUUAUCAGUGCAAUGCUAUGCCUGUGUAUUCCCUAUGUUCAACCUUUUUAUUUGGUCAUAAGGUUUGCUCUCC